This 500-nucleotide ribosomal RNA is filed under the name uncultured bacterium. Its description in RNAcentral is "partial 16S ribosomal RNA". It matches the Rfam family "Bacterial small subunit ribosomal RNA", at positions 31 to 523 of the family's 1533-position model. The record is from RNAcentral.
AUGGAACGCUGGCGGAAUGCUUUACACAUGCAGGUCGAACGGCAGCACGGACUUCGGUCUGGUGGCGAGUGGCGAACGGGUGAGUAAUGUAUCGGAGCGUGCCCAGUCGUGGGGGAUAAUGUAGUGAAAAUUACGCUAAUACCGCAUACGAUCUAUGGAUGAACGCGGGGGAUCGCAAGACCUCGCGCGAUUGGAGCGGCCGAUAUCAGAUUAGGUAGUUGGUGGGGUAAAGGCCCACCAAGCCAACGAUCUGUAGCUGGUCUGAGAGUACGCCCAGCCACACUGGAACCGAGACACGGUCCAGACUCCUACGGGAGGCAGCAGUGGGGAAUUUUGGACAAUGGGCGAAAGCCUGAUCCAGCCAUUCCGCGUGCAGGAUGAAGGCCCUCGGGUUGUAAACUGCUUUUGUACAGAACCAAAAGGUUUCUACUAAUACUAGGAGCUCAUGACGGUACUGUAAGAAUAAGCACCGGCUAACUACGUGCCAGCAGCCGCAGUAA